This 224-nucleotide signal recognition particle RNA is filed under the name marine eukaryotic metagenome. Its description in RNAcentral is "Bacterial large signal recognition particle RNA". It matches the Rfam family "Bacterial large signal recognition particle RNA", at positions 1 to 224 of the family's 256-position model. From Rfam's summary of the family: The signal recognition particle (SRP) is a universally conserved ribonucleoprotein involved in the co-translational targeting of proteins to membranes. The record is from RNAcentral.
CCGUGCUAGAUGGGGAAUUAGCGGUGCCCUAUUACCUGCAAUCCGCUAUAGCAGGAUCGAUGCUAACGCCAGGCCAUUGCUGACUUAGACAAGAAAAUAAGUAGUGUUGACAUUCUGGACUGUUGCAAUAAUUGGUAGACAAAUCCCGUCAGGCCCGGAAGGGAGCAGCGGUAAAUCUUUCCAGCUAUGUGCUGGCAGAAACCGGUAUGGAGCUGGCUGUUUCU